GCCAGCAUAGUGUAGUGGUUUGAGCACUGGACUAUGACUCUGGAGACCAGAGUUCGAAUCUCAGCUUGGCC
RNAcentral lists this transfer RNA (71 nucleotides) under Phrynosoma platyrhinos (Desert horned lizard). RNAcentral's name for it is "tRNA-OTHER". The record is from RNAcentral. Lineage: Eukaryota; Metazoa; Chordata; Lepidosauria; Squamata; Phrynosomatidae.